RNAcentral lists this ribosomal RNA (301 nucleotides) under uncultured bacterium. Its description in RNAcentral is "partial 16S ribosomal RNA". It matches the Rfam family "Bacterial small subunit ribosomal RNA", at positions 509 to 809 of the family's 1533-position model. The record is from RNAcentral.
CAGUAGCCGCGGUAAUACGAAGGGGGCUAGCGUUGUUCGGAAUUACUGGGCGUAAAGCGCACGUAGGCGGAUUUUUAAGUCAGAGGUGAAAGCCCGGGGCUCAACCCCGGAACUGCCUUUGAAACUAGGUGACUAGAAUCUUGGAGAGGUCAGUGGAAUUCCGAGUGUAGAGGUGAAAUUCGUAGAUAUUCGGAAGAACACCAGUGGCGAAGGCGACUGACUGGACAAGUAUUGACGCUGAGGUGCGAAAGCGUGGGGAGCAAACAGGAUUAGAUACCCGCGUAGUCCCUGUCUCUUAUAA